Molecule: long non-coding RNA, 2024 nt
Organism: Neopelma chrysocephalum (saffron-crested tyrant-manakin)
Lineage: Eukaryota; Metazoa; Chordata; Aves; Passeriformes; Pipridae
Exons: 2
Source: RefSeq, a predicted model, not a curated record
GGGGGGAAGGAUCCAAAAGAGUCUGUAACCAGACACUGAAGCUUUCCAGGAGUGAGAGUGUGUGAGAGAGACGGAGACAGAGCGAGAGGAAGAGAGGGGGCAGUGUGGUCUAGUACAUUUUCAUCUGGUCGUUGAUUUGAGCCUGAUGCUUGCUGUCCCUCAACAGCCUCCCUUGCCUGGAUUUUUUCUUUCCCCCUCUCCUCUCCUUUCCCUUCUACUUCAUCGAAGCCUAGGGGAGCCAGGAAAGAUUAAAUGUGCUUUCGAAAAGGCAGCCACUUCAUGCAGCUAUGUCUGCUCCCCCCCCACUCCCAGCCACCCCCCCCUACUCCCCCUUUUUGAAAUAAAAAAAAAAAAAAAGAGAGGGGGAGACAGAGAGGGGGAGAAGGAAGGAGGAGGAAGAGGAGGACUAUAGUUUAAUGAUGUCGGGACUGGCUGAUCCAGAAGGAGAAAAAAAAAAAGGAAAAAAAGAAACCUAAAAAAAAAAAAAAGAAAAAAAAAAGAAAAUAUUUGAGCUCCUGGACGAGGAAGGACUUUGGUGAAUGGGCUCAGACUCCUGAGUUUUGGUGCAUUUGACUCCCUGGACUACCCAGACAAGUAAAGCUGUGGGGUAAGAUGUUCCAGUUUGUGAUUUUUUUUUGUUGUGCAUGGAAGGGAGAACUUACAGGCUCACCCUAAAAUUACAGUGUCCCAGAACAUGGAAAGAGACUUCUCUCUGCUCAGAAAGAGGUGGAGACUCAUUUAUUCGAGGUAGAUGGAAGGAAUAGGAGGGGAAAAGGCACCUAAAAGUGGUUUGCCCAAGGAAGCACACUAUUAGCAAAGCAGUAAUUCAUGUCUCCUGGUUUACAGGGCUCUAUUUAAUGGCAUGUAUUCUUCCUCUGUGGAACUUUCCUGCUUGGGAAUAAGGUUAAUAACCUGAAUAUGGCUCCUGAUAUGCCAGGAGACCCUCUCAUGUACCCCAGAUGUAACCAUGAAAGACUAUGUUAUUUCUGUGAGCAAGUCAUGCCUUUUUGCCCUUCUGUUUUUCUGUCAUUCACCCAAUGCUCUGGCAACUGUGUUUGAUAUGAGAGGGCAUUAAAACCAAUUAAAAGAUGAAAGAUGAGCCUCUGAUUUACAUGGUGACUGUGGAAGGCUGAGACUGCUGCAAUUGUUUUUAUUUAACAGCUCUUCCCACACUGCAGUCAGUGAAUCUCUAAUCUCCUGGACUGAAAUGUCUGACACUUUCAGAAUCAUUUAUUUGCUGGCUCUUGUAUCUUGUGUUGUGCUCACAGAGCUCCACCCACAGCAGUGUCUCAGCAGUGGGCUGAUGGUAUAUUGGAUAUAAAUGUAUGUUCUUUAAGGGGGUGGGGGGGAUAAAAGGCUGAACAUGGGCUUUGCUGUGCAAUAUGUGCCAUCCUUUAAAUAAGGGCUAUCUGCAGCAGCAAGUGUUGGAGGAUGGCUUGAGCUGCUGAGACACAAGGAGUAGAUUAACCCUGGCAGAGUUUAUUCCUUGCUGCUGACCCUCAACCAGCACCACUGAUCACAACCUGGUGCUAUUUGCUGUCGUGUUCCUCUGGAAGAUGGACAGAAGGGAUGCCCUUUGGUGUCCUGUGUGGCAAAGAGGAGGAUAAGCUCAGUCAGCUCCUGAGAGAAGUCUCCAAACUGCUCCCUCUGGCUACUCCAAGAAGCUGAACCUCUGGCUUCUGUUCCCUGGGAGCUGUGUCUGGUGAUCACAGGCCAUUAUACACUUCUCACUUGACUGCCCUGCUGGUAACUUCACUUUUGAGAUGAAUUAUGCAAGAAAUGCUGUGAAGCAUCAGAAAUGCUGAGGAUUGAGAAGAGUCCUCCUGGUGCACGAACUCGUUUCUGAAUCAAGUCCGAGACUCACCUGGAUUCCAGCUCCUCCAGAAAGGACAAAAAAAGGGGGAAAAAGGAUCAGAAAUCAAUCAGUGGACUUUGGUUUUGCUGUAUUUGUAUCAUGUCUGAACCUGCAAAGAAUAUCCUUGGUUAUUCCCAAGGAAUCCAGUAAAUGGUGACUCUGUCAAUCA